Molecule: long non-coding RNA, 1188 nt
Filed under: Sus scrofa (pig)
Lineage: Eukaryota; Metazoa; Chordata; Mammalia; Artiodactyla; Suidae
Description: lncRNA (ENSSSCG00050076739.1)
Source: RNAcentral
AAUCCCAGGAAGGAAGUAUUACUGUGUCCAUGAAUCGGAUGAGGAAACCGAGGCACCGCGAGGAGCAGAAGGAGGCCUGCCUGGUGCGGGGGUGGAGGGGGAAGGGGACCCCGGGGUCCAGGCCUUCUGCUUUGCCCGCCUCCCAGGUACCCAUGAGCGGGCGGACUCCCCGGGGCCCUGCCAGGGCACACCGGGCCACUCCCUCCCGCGGAAGUGGAUCCAUGGCAGGACUGCCUGGCCUCUGGCACCUGUGCCAGCAGGUAAACAGUGGGCGAGGCCCUUCCUUCUAGGAACAGACUGCCUGGAGAUUUCCUUCAAGGAAGCGGGCAAAGCCUGCCUGUCACGGCCACCCCCAGGCUGGACCAAGGACUCUGUCACGGAGCCACCCUGUGCCGGGACCAAACCGGCGGAGACUGACCACCCUGGCUUUUCGAGGGACCCAUCCCUUGAUCAGGAGGACGAAGCCCAGGAGGACACCUGCGUGGCUCUUGGUCGAGCGCUUCCUUCUAUCCAACUGGACUCUAAGAGCCAGAGAAGGACCCGUCCCCGCUCACGUGCACGGCAGCAGCGCACGAGCCCGGGCCCGCCAGCCGCCCAUCCUCGCGGCGGUGGAUUAUCCAACCUCGUGAGGGAAUGAGAUUCGGAUACAGGGCAACAGGACGAACCUGGACAACCUCGUGCAGGACAGCCAGUCACAGCAAGUCACGUGUUGCCUGACUCCACCUCCGGGAGGGAUGGGCAGACCCUCAGAGAUGAGGGGGGGGAGGGGGGCGGGGGAGCAAGGCGCCGGGUCCAGGGUUCCCUUCCCUCUGGGGGAUAAAAACAUCCCCGGACUAGACAGAGGUGGUGGCUGCACGACACUGCAAAGAGACCUCCAGGCCCUGAACUGAUCACGUUAAAAUGAUUAUUUUUAGGAGAUCCUGCUGGUGCAGUGGGAUGGGUGGUAUCUUGUGAGCCACUGGGAUGCGGGUUUGAUCCCUGGUCUGGCACAGUGGGUUAGGGAUCUGGCAUUGAGGUGAGCUGUGGUGUAGGUCGCAGCUGUGGCUCAGAUCCCGUGUGGCUGUGGCUGUGGUGUAGGCCGGCAGCUACAGCUCCGAUGAGACCCCAGCCUGGGAACCUCCAUGUGCCACGGGUACGGCCCUAAAAAAACAAAAUAAAUAAAUAGUAACAGUAAGGAAAAGAAAAUCU